RNAcentral lists this ribosomal RNA (515 nucleotides) under uncultured bacterium. Its description in RNAcentral is "partial 16S ribosomal RNA". It matches the Rfam family "Bacterial small subunit ribosomal RNA", at positions 28 to 523 of the family's 1533-position model. The record is from RNAcentral.
GAUGAACGCUGGCGGCGUGCCUAAUACAUGCAAGUCGAGCGAAUGGAUUGAGAGCUUGCUCUUAUGAAGUUAGCGGCGGACGGGUGAGUAACACGUGGGUAACCUGCCCAUAAGACUGGGAUAACUCCGGGAAACCGGGGCUAAUACCGGAUAACAUUUUGAACCGCAUGGUUCGAAAUUGAAAGGCGGCUUCGGCUGUCACUUAUGGACGGACCCGCGCCGCAUUAGCUAGUUGGUGAGGUAACGGCUCACCAAGGCAACGAUGCGUAGCCGACCUGAGAGGGUGAUCGGCCACACUGGGACUGAGACACGGCCCAGACUCCUACGGGAGGCAGCAGUAGGGAAUCUUCCGCAAUGGACGAAAGUCUGACGGAGCAACGCCGCGUGAGUGAUGAAGGCUUUCGGGUCGUAAAACUCUGUUGUUAGGGAAGAACAAGUGCUAGUUGAAUAAGCUGGCACCUUGACGGUACCUAACCAGAAAGCCACGGCUAACUACGUGCCAGCCGCCGCCGUAA